RNAcentral lists this ribosomal RNA (408 nucleotides) under Salmonella enterica subsp. enterica serovar Typhimurium. Its description in RNAcentral is "partial 23S ribosomal RNA". It matches the Rfam family "Bacterial large subunit ribosomal RNA", at positions 1154 to 1538 of the family's 2925-position model. Lineage: Bacteria; Pseudomonadati; Pseudomonadota; Gammaproteobacteria; Enterobacterales; Enterobacteriaceae. The record is from RNAcentral.
CGUAUCACCCAAGACAACUUUACGGAGUUGACGAUUGACGGAGCGAAGCGACGUCAAAGCGUUCAUUAAAGUCGAGUUGGCUUAGGGAUACGUUCGUUGGGUAGGGGAGCGUUCUGUAAGCCUGUGAAGGUGUGUCGUGAGGCAUGCUGGAGGUAUCAGAAGUGCGAAUGCUGACAUAAGUAACGAUAAAGCGGGUGAAAAGCCCGCUCGCCGGAAGACCAAGGGUUCCUGUCCAACGUUAAUCGGGGCAGGGUGAGUCGACCCCUAAGGCGAGGCCGAAAGGCGUAGUCGAUGGGAAACGGGUUAAUAUUCCCGUACUUGGUGUUACUGCGAAGGGGGGACGGAGAAGGCUAUGUUGGCCGGGCGACGGUUGUCCCGGUUUAAGCGUGUAGGUGUGUGUUCCAGGUA